UACGUAGGGUGCUAGGGUUGUCCGGAUUUACUGGGUGUAAAGGGUGCUCAGGUGGGUUUGUAAGUCAGAGGUGAAAUCCCAAAGCUUAACUUUGGUGCUGCCUUUGAUACUGCAAGUCUGGAGUUUGAGAGAGGGUAAUGGAAUAUCUGGUGUAGCAGUGAAAUGCGUAGAUAUCAGAUAGAACACCAAUGGCGAAGGCAGUUACCUGGCUCAAUACUGACGCUAAAGCACGAAAGUGUGGGGAGCAAACAGG
RNAcentral lists this ribosomal RNA (253 nucleotides) under uncultured bacterium. Its description in RNAcentral is "partial 16S ribosomal RNA". It matches the Rfam family "Bacterial small subunit ribosomal RNA", at positions 524 to 776 of the family's 1533-position model. The record is from RNAcentral.